RNAcentral lists this ribosomal RNA (465 nucleotides) under uncultured Klebsiella sp. RNAcentral's name for it is "bacterial SSU rRNA". It matches the Rfam family "Bacterial small subunit ribosomal RNA", at positions 338 to 795 of the family's 1533-position model. The record is from RNAcentral. Lineage: Bacteria; Pseudomonadati; Pseudomonadota; Gammaproteobacteria; Enterobacterales; Enterobacteriaceae.
CCUACGGGGGGCUGCAGUGGGGAAUAUUGCACAAUGGGCGCAAGCCUGAUGCAGCCAUGCCGCGUGUGUGAAGAAGGCCUUCGGGUUGUAAAGCACUUUCAGCGGGGAGGAAGGCGGUGAGGUUAAUAACCUCAUCGAUUGACGUUACCCGCAGAAGAAGCACCGGCUAACUCCGUGCCAGCAGCCGCGGUAAUACGGGGGGUGCAAGCGUUAAUCGGAAUUACUGGGCGUAAAGCGCACGCAGGCGGUCUGUCAAGUCGGAUGUGAAAUCCCCGGGCCCAACCUGGGAACUGCAUUCGAAACGGGCAGGCUAGAGUCUUGUAGAGGGGGGUAGAAUUCCAGGUGUAGCGGUGAAAUGCGUAGAGAUCUGGAGGAAUACCGGUGGCGAAGGCGGCCCCCUGGACAAAGACUGACGCUCAGGUGCGAAAGCGUGGGGAGCAAACAGGAUUAGAUACCCUGGUAGUC